Molecule: ribosomal RNA, 274 nt
Filed under: uncultured bacterium
Lineage: Bacteria
Description: partial 16S ribosomal RNA
Rfam family: Archaeal small subunit ribosomal RNA
Source: RNAcentral
AAACCAGCACCUCAAGUGGUCAGGAGGAUUAUUGGGCCUAAAGCAUCCGUAGCCUGCUUUGUAAGUUUCCGGUUAAAUCCAUUAGCUCAACUAAUGGGCCGCCGAAAAUACUGCAAAACUAGGGAGUGGGAGAGGUAGACGGUACUCGGUAGGAAGGGGUAAAAUCCUUUGAUCUAUUGAUGACCACCUGUGGCGAAGGCGGUCUACCAGAACACGUUCGACGGUGAGGGAUGAAAGCUGGGGGAGCAAACCGGAUUAGAAACCCGAGUAGUCC